UAUAAUCCAGCCUGUUAAGGUGCUCCCGAAUUUUCGGGAGAUAAUCGGGAAUCCCGUGCUCUAAUUUUUUAGAAAAUCGGGAGCUGCCCCGCAACUGUAAGCCCAAAUAAUAGAUCCAAGCAUAUCGCCACUGUUACCACGGGAAGGCGCUUGGGAUUCGGGCAAGCCAGGAGACCGGCCUUAACAGGAUAUUUACC
Molecule: non-coding RNA, 197 nt
Filed under: Candidatus Edwardsiibacteriota
Lineage: Bacteria
Source: RNAcentral